GUGGGGAAUAUUGGACAAUGGGCGAAAGCCUGAUCCAGCCAUGCCGCGUGUGUGAAGAAGGUCUUCGGAUUGUAAAGCACUUUAAGUUGGGAGGAAGGGCAGUAAGUUAAUACCUUGCUGUUUUGACGUUACCGACAGAAUAAGCACCGGCUAACUUCGUGCCAGCAGCCGCGGUAAUACGAAGGGUGCAAGCGUUAAUCGGAAUUACUGGGCGUAAAGCGCGCGUAGGUGGUUUUGUAAGUUGGAGGUGAAAUCCACGGGCUCAACCUGGGAACUGACUCCAAAACUGCAUGACUAGAGUACGGUAGAGGGUAGUGGAAUUUCCUGUGUAGCGGUGAAAUGCGUAGAUAUAGGAAGGAACACCAGUGGCGAAGGCGACUACCUGGACUGAUACUGACACUGAGGUGCGAAAGCGUGGGGAGCAAACAGGAUUAGAAACCCUGGUAGUCC
This 450-nucleotide ribosomal RNA is filed under the name uncultured bacterium. Its description in RNAcentral is "partial 16S ribosomal RNA". It matches the Rfam family "Bacterial small subunit ribosomal RNA", at positions 354 to 796 of the family's 1533-position model. The record is from RNAcentral.